This 683-nucleotide long non-coding RNA is filed under the name Elaeis guineensis (African oil palm). RNAcentral's name for it is "long non-coding RNA (EGUI_LNC004267)". The record is from RNAcentral. Lineage: Eukaryota; Viridiplantae; Streptophyta; Magnoliopsida; Arecales; Arecaceae.
GAUUCAUCAUUGAUCGUCGAAAGAGUGUCAACUCCCGUUCGUGUAGAUGCGUCGGCCCUCGCAAGAGUCCGAUGGGUCACCGGCGAUAAGGUCGUCGGCUUCAGGCGGAUACCGAGUCCAAGUCGAUAUGUCGGGGCUUGGCCUUGGUGAGCGCCGAUCAUUAGUCGAAGAGUCAAAACUCCGAGAUUUCAAAUCGAAUUUAUAUUCCGGCUAGCAAAUUACAAAGUUCAUGGAUAGUACAAUUUCAAGUUGUCAGCAUUCCAAGUUCGGGGAAUGGGUUUCCCCUCAAGGGUCUCUAGUCGGUAGGCUCUCGGACCGUAGGUGUCAGCUACCUUGUAGGGUCCUUCCCAAUUGGGAGCCAACUUUCCUUGGUCCAGGGGCUUCGAGACCUCCGCCUUCCUCAAGACCAAGUCACCAGGCCUGAAAAGCUUUGGUCUGACUUUAGCGUUGUAAUAUCGAGCGACCCUCUGUCGGUAUGAGGCCAUGCAAAUUUGAGCCUCAUCUCGUAGUUCGGGGAGGAGGUCUAGGUCGGCCCUCCGACACUCGGAGUUGUCCGGCUCUUAAUACCGCUCGACUCUUGAAGAUGGCAGUCCGAUCUCGAGCGGGAUCAUGGCCUCCGUUCCAUAGGCCAAACUGAAAGGCGAUUCCCCGGUCGGAACGCGGGGGGUUGUUCGGUAAACCCA